GGCCUCCAGGUCUGCCACAGGGAGCUGUCAAGCUGGCUUCUACUGGCUUCUGCUGCCUAGAGGGGCUUUGAGGCAAAAUGCCAGACACCUGCUAGUGUGGGCAGCUACCAGGGCAAAGGCGGAUCUGAAUUUGCAGGAGCUCUUCUCUUGUGACUGAAAGUUGAGCUGUUUUGUACAGAAGACAACUUUGCAACCUUCAGUGAAUGGAGAAAAAGUAUUUGAAGGUAACAUCUCCCAAUUUGAUAAUCUGCAGAAAAAUCUGCAUUCCUACGUGUAUCAUAUUGUAGGAAUAAAACAAUCAUUCUCAGACACUAAGCAAUCACGAGAGGACUGGAGAGUAUAUCUGCAGGAACAAAACUGCAUUCGCUGGUGAGGGGUGGCCUUGCUCAGGAAGAACCCACCCUCAUCUCCUUGACCAAAUGCCCAUUUUCAAAGUAAACAAGUGAGAUUAAAUUAGGUUGAAUGCAAUGCUCAAGUGUCUUUAUUAAGUGGACAAUUGUUUUUAUUUUCAUUGUUUUAGUAUUUAAAUAUUAAUGUCUGUGAUAUAUCACUUUUUAAAAUAUAAGUAAUGUACGGCUGGCUGGUUGGGGUAUCAUAUGUCAGUAAUCUCAGCAAUCAGAAGGCUGAGGCAGGAGGAUGGUAAGUUCAAGCCCAGCUUGGGCAAUUUAGAGACUUAGUGAGCACUUGUCUCACAAUAAAAGAUAAAAAUGGCUGGAGAUAUAACUCAGUGUGAAGGCCCAGUAAUGCAAAAAAAAAAAAAGUAUAGCUAAAAUUUAUCAUGUGCCAUGACUGUUCUAUACACAGCGUUGUUAAGUAUUAUUACUUUGCAUAUUCACAGAUGAGGAAACUGAGACCCAAAGAAUUUACAUAAAAUGUCCACAAUGAUAAAGUUAGUAAAAAUGAGAAACCAAAUAGCCAAAUAUAGAUCUUGACUCUUUGAACAUUGUAUUAUACUGUUUCUCAUGCUCUUUAUAGAAAAAGUGGAAAAAUAAUUGAAAAAAUAAAUGUCACCUUGAAUCGCAUUGCUAAAAGAUAACCAUUGUCUAUAUGGUUAAAGCUUUUUGCACUACAGGAUAUCAAACCACCACUAAAAGUUUAUGUUUUUCAUUUUCAUUAUCAUUCAUAAUUUAAAAUAUUUCAAAAUUUUCCAAAUAUUAUGAUGAUUUAUUUUUCAUGAUAUGAAAUUGAUUGGAUUAAGAAACGCCUAGGUGGUUAAUAACAUCUGCUUCUGGGUGUGUCUGAGUGGGUCAUGAAGUAUGACAUUGGGCACUAUAUCUGGUCCCUGGCCCCUCUUUCUCUGGCGCUGGUCCCCUGCUCUGCUUCCUAGCUGCCAUGAACCAAGCAGCUUUCCUCUGCCAGGCCCUUCUGCCCUGAUGUUCCUGCCUUGGAGCUGCUUACCAUGGACUGAAUCCCCUAGAACCUGGAGCCAAAUUAGACCUCUCCUCCUGUGGGCAUCCUGCAUUGUGUCGCAAGAACAGUGAAGCUGACUAAUAUAUAUAAUGCAUCUUCAUUUAUUUUAUGGGUAUUUCUUUUAGAUUUUUAAGUUGAUCAUUUUUUUACCACAAAAAAUACCACAUUGACAUCUUCGUGUUAAAGCUUUUGUGCAGUUAUUUAAAAUUAUCUUUCGGAUGUAGUACUAGAAGUGUAAUUCCUAUGCCAAUGACACGACUUAUUUUAAGUUUC
This 1683-nucleotide long non-coding RNA is filed under the name Heterocephalus glaber (naked mole-rat). RNAcentral's name for it is "lncRNA (ENSHGLG00000032999.1)". The record is from RNAcentral. Lineage: Eukaryota; Metazoa; Chordata; Mammalia; Rodentia; Bathyergidae.